GGAACCGGGAGAGGUAAGAGGUACGUACAGGGUAGGAGUGAAAUCUUGUAAUCCCGUGUGGGACCACCUGUGGCGAAGGCGUCUUACCAGAACGGGUUCGACGGUGAGGACGAAAGCUGGGGGCACGAACCGGAUUAGAUACCCGGGUAGUCCCAGCCGUAAACGAUGCUCGCUAGGUGUCAGGCAUGGCGCGACCGUGUCUGGUGCCGCAGGGAAGCCGUGAAGCGAGCCACCUGGGAAGUACGGCCGCAAGGCUGAAACUUAAAGGAAUUGGCGGGGGAGCACAACAACGGGUGGAGCCCUGCGGUUUAAUUGGACUCAACGCCGGACAACUCACCGGGGGCGACAGCAAUAUGUAGGCCAAGCUGAAGACUUUGCCUGAAUCGCUGAGAAGAGGUGCAUGG
This 404-nucleotide ribosomal RNA is filed under the name uncultured archaeon. RNAcentral describes it as "bacterial SSU rRNA". It matches the Rfam family "Archaeal small subunit ribosomal RNA", at positions 595 to 997 of the family's 1478-position model. The record is from RNAcentral.